UCUAAUAUGGCAGAUUAGUGCGUUGGAUUUAAGCCCCAAAUAUAAAGAUUAACCUUUUUUUAGAA
This 65-nucleotide transfer RNA is filed under the name Epitrix abeillei. RNAcentral's name for it is "tRNA-Leu". It matches the Rfam family "tRNA". Rfam says of the family: Transfer RNA (tRNA) molecules are approximately 80 nucleotides in length. Their secondary structure includes four short double-helical elements and three loops (D, anti-codon, and T loops). Lineage: Eukaryota; Metazoa; Arthropoda; Insecta; Coleoptera; Chrysomelidae. The record is from RNAcentral.